This 407-nucleotide ribosomal RNA is filed under the name uncultured bacterium. RNAcentral's name for it is "partial 16S ribosomal RNA". It matches the Rfam family "Bacterial small subunit ribosomal RNA", at positions 30 to 526 of the family's 1533-position model. The record is from RNAcentral.
AUUGAACGCUGGCGGCAGGCCUAACACAUGCAAGUCGAGCGGAGCGGCGGACGGGCGAGUAAUGCCUAUGAAUGUGUCUGCUAGUUAGGGGUAAAGUCCGGAAACGGGCGCUAAUUCCGCACACUCUCUGAUGAGCCUACGUUGGAUUAGUUAGCUGGUGGGGUAAAGGCCUACCAAGGCGACGAACCGUAGCUGGUCUGAGAGGAUGAUCAGCCACACUGGAACUGAGACACGGUCCAGACUCCUACGGGAGGCAGCAGUGGGGAAUAUUGCACAAUGGGCGAAAGCCUGAUGCAGCCAUGCCGCGUGUAUGAAGAAGGUCUUCGGAUUGUAAAGUACUUUAAGUUGGGAGGCGUUACCGACAGAAGAAGCACCGGCUAACUCCGUGCCAGCAGCCGCGGUAAUAC